This 516-nucleotide ribosomal RNA is filed under the name Candida albicans. Its description in RNAcentral is "eukaryotic LSU rRNA". The stretch from base 147 to 300 matches the Rfam family "5.8S ribosomal RNA". Lineage: Eukaryota; Fungi; Ascomycota; Pichiomycetes; Serinales; Debaryomycetaceae. The record is from RNAcentral.
GUGGCGUGCGGCUGCAUGAUUGCACCACAUGUGUUUUUCUUUGAAACAAACUUGCUUUGGCGGUGGGCCCAGCCUGCCGCCAGAGGUCUAAACUUACAACCAAUUUUUUAUUAACUUGUCACACCAGAUUAUUACUAAAUAGUCAAAACUUUCAACAACGGAUCUCUUGGUUCUCGCAUCGAUGAAGAACGCAGCGAAAUGCGAUACGUAAUAUGAAUUGCAGAUAUUCGUGAAUCAUCGAAUCUUUGAACGCACAUUGCGCCCUCUGGUAUUCCGGAGGGCAUGCCUGUUUGAGCGUCGUUUCUCCCUCAAACCGCUGGGUUUGGUGUUGAGCAAUACGACUUGGGUUUGCUUGAAAGACGGUAGUGGUAAGGCGGGAUCGCUUUGACAAUGGCUUAGGUCUAACCAAAAACAUUGCUUGCGGCGGUAACGUCUACCACGUAUAUCUUCAAACUUUGACCUCAAAUCAGGUAGGACUACCCGCUGAACUUAAGCAUAUCAAAAUCCGGGAGGAAA